Non-coding RNA from Pelobates cultripes (western spadefoot toad), 220 nucleotides. The record is from the annotation of a GenBank genome assembly. NCBI's taxonomy places the organism in Eukaryota, Metazoa, Chordata, Amphibia, Anura, Pelobatidae.
CCAGAAUAUUUGUUGGCGUUUAAGCCGAGUUGUGUCAACAAUAGUCGUAUAUACACCAUAAAUUUAGACGUGGUGAGGGUAGCCCCGUGAAGUAACAGGAGAGGGAGUGAAGCGUGAGUGGGUACAGAAAGUAGGUAUGCGUCAAAAACUUUCACUGGACACCACAAAUUGCCAGUGGGGUAGUAAUGGAUAAGAACAGGUUGACCCAUCUGACUAGUCU